UACAGAGGUGGCAAGCGUUGUUCGGAAUUACUGGGCGUAAAGGGCGCGUAGGCGGCCUACUAAGUCAGACGUGAAAUCCCCCGGCUUAACCUGGGAACUGCGUCUGAUACUGGAAGACUUGAGUAUGGGAGAGGGAUGUAGAAUUCCAGGUGUAGCGGUGAAAUGCGUAGAUAUCUGGAGGAAUACCGGUGGCGAAGGCGGCAUCCUGGACCAUUACUGACGCUGAGGCGCGGAAGCUAGGGGAGCAAACGGG
Molecule: ribosomal RNA, 253 nt
Filed under: uncultured bacterium
Lineage: Bacteria
Description: partial 16S ribosomal RNA
Rfam family: Bacterial small subunit ribosomal RNA
Source: RNAcentral